CUUGAUUUUAGUUGCCAGCAUUUAGUUGGGCACUCUAAAGUGACUGCCGGUGCAAGCCGGAGGAAGGUGGGGAUGACGUCAAAUCAUCAUGCCCCUUAUGACCUGGGCUACACACGUGCUACAAUGGAUAAUACAAAGGGUUGCCAAACCGCGAGGUCGAGCUAAUCCCAUAAAAUUAUUCUCAGUUCGGAUUGUAGGCUGCAACUCGCCUACAUGAAGCCGGAAUCACUAGUAAUCGUGGAUCAGCAUGCCACGGUGAAUACGUUCCCGGGCCUUGUACACACCGCCCGUCACACCACGAGAGUUUGUAACACCCGAAGUCGGUAGGGUAACCUUUAUGGAGCCAGCCGCCGAAGGUGGGACAGAUAAUUGGGGUGAAGUCGUAACAAGGUAGCCGUAUCGGAAGGUGCGGCUGGAUCACCUCCUUUCUAAGGAA
Molecule: ribosomal RNA, 436 nt
Filed under: Listeria booriae
Lineage: Bacteria; Bacillati; Bacillota; Bacilli; Caryophanales; Listeriaceae
Description: bacterial SSU rRNA
Rfam family: Bacterial small subunit ribosomal RNA
Source: RNAcentral